Molecule: long non-coding RNA, 303 nt
Filed under: Mus musculus (house mouse)
Lineage: Eukaryota; Metazoa; Chordata; Mammalia; Rodentia; Muridae
Description: predicted gene, 49513
Source: RNAcentral
GGAGAGAGAGAGGAAGAAGAGGAGGAGGAAGAGGAGGAGGAGGAGGAAAGAAAGAGGAGGGCUGGUGACAUGGCUCCCUGAUAUCCAGGAUGAUAUCCAGUGGCUACAAUGGGCGACAUCCCAGGUUUGUGCCCGAAUGACGAUGUGCCUGCUCCCCUCUACCAGAGUCUGGAGCCCCUCCCGUCGAGUGGAACUGACUUUGGAGCACUGGGGGAGGAAGCCGAGUUUGUGGAAGUUGAGCCGGAAGCGAAACAGGAAAUCCUGGAAAACAAAGAUGUGAGUAUUCUGUGGAACAUCUUGAUG